RNA transcript from Adelges cooleyi (spruce gall adelgid), 3453 nucleotides. It is a transcript of the gene named spermatogenesis-associated protein 20, with no coding region annotated. NCBI's taxonomy places the organism in Eukaryota, Metazoa, Arthropoda, Insecta, Hemiptera, Adelgidae. The record is from RefSeq and is a predicted model, not a curated record. The transcript has 18 exons.
UGUAUUAUUCGUUGAGAGUUUGUACACAAUUGUAAUUAUUUAGUAAACAUAUAUUUUUUGUUAAUAAUAUAUUACCAUAAUAAAUGUUAUUCGUUUAUUAAAUAUUAUUCAAUGUUAUGUUCAUUAAUUUGUUGAUAAUUCAUAGUGCACGUUUCAUGUUAGUUACUGUGCUAUUGCUGUAGUUGUAUAGUUGUUAUGCUCGCCCUCGCUAAUGUCGGUCGCAGAUGCAAUUGCUGGUACAACGCAUCACGAAUAGUAUUGUUCAAUUAUUCUGCAACGACUCAAUCAAAGUGGCUCACACAGUAUAGACAGUACCGAGAUCCGAUUUCAAAACGUUUGUACAGCCAAAUGGAGAAAAUUAAAAAUCGUUUGGCUCAAGAGCGAUCGCCAUACCUUUUACAACACGCCGAAAAUCCCGUACAAUGGUAUCCGUGGAGUGAUGAAGCUUUUGAUAAAGCCCGUACCGAAAAAAAAUUAAUUUUCCUCUCGGUAGGAUAUUCGACGUGUCAUUGGUGUCACGUCAUGGAACACGAGUCUUUUGAAAAUCCCGAUGUGGCGGCUAUCAUGAACGAGCAUUUCGUCAACAUAAAAGUCGAUCGCGAAGAAAGGCCCGAUGUAGAUCAGUUGUAUAUGACUUUCGUUCAAGCAGCCUCUGGUUCGGGAGGAUGGCCGAUGAGUGUGUUUUUAACGCCCGAUUUGAAACCCAUCGGUGGUGGUACCUAUUACCCGCCGGAAGACUCGUAUGGUCGGCCCGGAUUUAAGAGCGUUCUUUUGCAUAUGGCCAAAAGGUGGAAGAGUGAUUCAGCCGACGUGCUAGCAAACAGUAAAAAACUAAUGGAAAUACUAAACGAGACGACGGCUUUCGAUAUAAACGUUCCUCUCGAACUCAUGAAACCUAACCCCAGAUCAUGGAUAACGUGUUUCUCGCAGUUGCAAAGAAUCUACGACGACGAAUGGGGUGGUUUUGGUAUGGCGCCGAAAUUUCCACAACCGUCGAUAUUAGACUUUUUGUUUCACAUUGCUUGCAAACGACCUAAAACGACAGAAAGUGUAAUGAGUCUCGAAAUGGCUUUGGAAACCCUGAAAAAGAUGGCCAUGGGUGGUAUACACGAUCAUGUGGGCCAGGGAUUUUCUCGAUACUCGACCGAUCAAAAAUGGCACGUACCGCACUUUGAAAAAAUGCUUUACGACCAAGCGCAGUUGUCUGUAUCGUAUACCAUCGCCUACUUGAUUACGAAAGAUCAACAGUAUGCCGACGUAGUCCACGAUAUCCUUCAAUAUGUCGGUAGAGAUUUAAGUCACAAGGACGGUGGGUUUUACAGCGCUGAAGAUGCCGAUUCUUUACCGUCUGCCGAUUCGGAUAAGAAGCGAGAAGGAGCGUUUUACACAUGGACACAAAGUGAAGUUAUUGCCCUGUUGGGUAAUCCGCUUGCUUGCAAAUCGGACGUCAAUCUUUCCGAUUUAUUCUGUUGGCAUUUUAGUGUUUUGCCGAAUGGCAAUGUUCGUCCGGAUUCGGAUCCUCACGGCGAACUAUUAGACCAAAACGUCUUGAUAGAAUUCAGAAGCAAAGAAAGUACUGCCAACAAAUUUCAAAUAUCCGUCGACGACGUCGAAAAAGAACUUAAGAUAGCGAAACAAAUUCUAUUCAAAGAGCGAAAUAAACGACCGCGGCCACACUUGGAUAACAAAAUCAUUACGUCGUGGAACGGUUUGAUGAUUACUGCGUACGCCAAGGCAGCAAUGGCGUUAAAAUGCGACGAGUACAAACAACGAGCAGUUCAUUGUGCAAAGUUCCUAAAGUCGCAUGCGUGGAACGAAAGCACAAAUAUGCUAUUACGUUCUUGCUACGUCAACGAACUGGGCGACAUUGUGAAUGUUGAAAAACCUAUCAUGGGUUUUUUGAACGACUACGCCUAUUUAAUACGCGGGUUGUUAGAUUUAUACGAGUGUACGCUACAGUCCGAAUGGCUUCGGUGGGCCAAUCAGUUGCAACAACAACAAGACAAUUUGUUUUGGGACAGUGAAAAAUUUGGGUAUUAUUCGUCGUCCGAUAACGACUCAAGCAUAAUUUUAAGAUUCAAAAGUGAUCACGAUGGAGCGGAGCCGUGUGGCAAUUCGAUAUCGGCCUUAAAUCUACAAAAAUUAUCAAUCAUUUCGGAUAACACUGAAUACAACAACAAACUCGAUUUACUAUUUAAAUCGUUCACCGGUCGCCUGUCCAACAGUUCUGGAUCUUUACCGACUUUAGUGUCCGCGCUUACUCUGCAUUGCGAUUCGAUAACGUCGGUCUACUUCACCGGCAGUUUAGACGAUCCCGAUUUAGACCCUCUGUUGUCCGUAGCUAGAGAACGUUUCAUUCCCGGGCUGACGAUGGCUUUGGCCAACGAAACAUCUCUAUCGGAAUUAGCCAAAGGUCUAGCGUCUUCACAAAACGGAAAAGUCGCUGCAUACGUGUGUAAAAAUAAUGUAUGCAAUUUGCCUGUUCACACUUCGGACGAGUUGACUGCUUUGCUCGACAAUUGAAAAAAAAAAAAACCCCGUCAAAAUUAGUUUAUAUUUAUUUUUGUAUUUUUUAAAAAUAUUUUAGUAACUGUUGAAAAUAAAUAAUUUUAAAUUCGGUUUAGAAUCAAAGUUUACGUGUGCCGUACGCCAAAACAAAAAAAUUCCAAUAUGACCAUGUUGUUUUUGUGUGUAACGUGUGUUGUAUUGAAAAGUACAAUAUUAUUGUCAUCGUCACUCAAAAAGUGAAAAAUUGGAUUUUUUUGGUUAAGGUUGUCUAAAGAAAAACUUUACAGGAUUUUCUAGAAUAAGAAAAUUUGAUUACAGAUUAAUACACUAUGAAAAAAAUCACGGUUUUCUUUGUAGCUAUCAUCAUCUUGGAAUUAACUAUGGUCAUACAAGGAAUGCCAUAUCCUUCGGGUGAUAAAGCGCCGCAAGAUAAUGCACCUAAAGAGACAGGUAAUAAUUAGAUUUAAACAAAUGUAUUUAUACCUAUUUAUUCUGAUCCAGGGGUAGAUUAACACGUUUGUGAGUUAUUUGCUUAUUAUUCGUCUCACGUCAAUAAAUAUAUUGUCAUAUACAUUUCUGUCGAGUCAAAAUUAAUUGACACGAUGAAAUGUAUAAUUAUUUAAACAUGCCUGACUUUUUGUUUAUUCAUGUUUUUAGGUUGUUUUGGAAAAUGUAUACAUGGUAUGUUGUAUCUUCACCUAUUAGCUUGUUUCAGCUCUCAAUUUGAGAGUUUUCAAUGUGAAGUUCUAAUAUUUUUUUUGUGAGCGGUCGGAGACGCGGUGAAAAGUGGUUUUCAUAAAGUCAAGGGUUGCUGUUGUAAACCAAAAGAAGAGCCCGUUUGUGUGUUUAAUCAGAAUGUGGAUAAUCCUUAAUUCAUAAGAAAGAAUCCAACUAUGGCGUGCAGAAAUAUUACAGUUUCUCAUUAAUACAAUAUAAAGUACUAUU